UUUCUGGGGGCUCUGGGUCUAGACCAAGUGACAGGGUAAGAGAGAGCAUGUCCCCCCUGAGAGCGUGGGACCAGGCUAGCCCAAAUGCAGCGCCCAGGUCCAGCCUCCCUGGUGAGGCCUCUGCCCGCGGAGCCAGUGGCUGCCCCUGCCGGGUGCCAGCGCCUGUGCACCCUCCCCUAGCUCUUCUUGGCCUCCUGCUCUCGGCGCCGGAGCUUCUCCCGCUGCCGCGCAGCCUUCUCCUGGGCCUUGCGCUCCUUCUCGGCAGCCGCUGCCAUCUCCUUCAACUUGCGCUUCACCAGUGCCCGGUCAUGAGAGUUGCUGAGCCCCAGGCUCUGGGGAGGAGUCCGGGGUGAGGGAGAGAGUCUCAGAACCUUCCCAGUCUUGGCCUCCCACGCCCAGGCUCCUUUUGCCCCAGGUGUACUCUGUGGAGCUCCAAAUCCUCCCUGGAGUGGAGCCUCCGCCUCCCACACCGUGACCUGCCCAUGGAUCAGAAUCCCCAGAGCAAGAAUUUGGAAUGAGUGUGGUUGGGAAAGAUGAGGGUUGGGGGUAUUAGGCGCUUCCUCCUCCUCCCCCACCAUUCCUCCACUCAGUAUUUCAGCCUUGGCCCGGACCUGCCCAACCUCCUGAGGCCCAGAGAUGGGGAGUCACUUGCCCAAGGUCACACAGUUAGUGUCCAAGGACCCUCCUCACUUCCAGAGACUUCCUGGGGGCUCUUUUCACCAUCCCUGCCCCAAGCAACUCAGCAGAGAGCAGGAGACAGGCCAGGAACCUCCCAGCUUAUAGGUCAGAGGCCACCACCCCCUUCCUACAGCCUCCCCCUGCCCACUAUUACCACUAGCCUCUGAGACAGAAUCAGACCAAGCUGACCAGGGGGAGAUGUGGCUUCCCAUGAUACCAGGACACUCAUAUGCAUCAAGGGUCAUCCUAGAGGGCAAGGUCAGCCUGGAGACCAGGGCUGGAGCUUGAAGGUCACACUGAAGUCAUGGACUAGAGUUUCAAGUCAAACUAGGGAUUCAUGCUACAACUCAAAAGAUUAGACCAAGGACCUUGCCUAGAGGUCAGAGGUCAGGGUGGUGGCCACAGAUGGAGUGAAAAGGUCAGCCCAGGAGGCUGGGCUGAGGGUCAAAGGUCAGGACGAGGGACUUCAAAUCCUUGAAAGUCACCUCAAGUAACUGGGCUGGGUCACGGCCCUUCCACUCUGACCCACCUUUAGUUUGCUUCCGUCCAGCUGCAGCAGCUGCGGCCCGUCUACCUGCCGUGCAGCAAACUCAGCAGCAUACUGUUCCAGGUUGAGGCUCUGCAGCCACUGGCCCACCUGCUGGCUGGUCCAGUGGUGGACAGGGGGGAGGGGUUCAUCCAGGAACUGGGCAGAGACCAAGGAGAGUGAGGGGGAGGCUUGGCCUGUGACCUGAGCACCUUGCAGAGUCAGAGGUCAGGACUCCGUGGGCACCCUGGGCCAGCCUUGCUCACCUCAUUUGAAGACUGAGACAGCGUGUGGUAGGGAAUAUGAAGGAGUGGAAGAGUGAACGAAUGAAUUCAGAGAAUGCAUGAAGUAACGGAUCACUGCAUGGCUCCAUGGAUGGACAAAUUGAUUCCAGGAAUGUCUGAAUCCCAGCCUGAGCCAAGGUGAAGUACGCCCUCAUGUCACCUGAGACUGGGGGCCAGUUUGGGGACAAGAAAGGCAUGGACUUACCUGGGAAGCUGACUUCUUAGGGCUGAAGCCCUCGUGUUUAGGGGAGCAGGCGGGGGAGGUGGUGCUACCCAAGGAUGCUGAGCCCUUGCCGCUGUCCGUGAACCAGGAAAAAGGCAGGAACGGGGAGCCCCCUGACCUGCCGGACCCCUCCACUGACUCCCUG
RNAcentral lists this long non-coding RNA (1856 nucleotides) under Pan troglodytes (chimpanzee). RNAcentral's name for it is "long non-coding RNA NONPTRT006848". The record is from RNAcentral. Lineage: Eukaryota; Metazoa; Chordata; Mammalia; Primates; Hominidae.